UGGGGAUUUGUAGUAGUAUGGUGGAGGAGGAGAUGGGGAAGGUGGUGGUGGGGAUUUGUAGUAGUAUGGUGGAGGAGGAGAUGGCGAUGGUGGUGGAGGAGACUUGUAGUAGUAAGGAGGUGGAGGUGAUGGAGAUGGUGGUGGAGGAGAUUUGUAGUAGUAUGGAGGUGGCGGUGAUGGAGAUGGUGGUGGAGGAGAUUUGUAAUAGUAUGGUGGUGGAGGAGAUGGGUCUGGUGGUGGUGGAGACUUGUAGUAGUAUGGUGGAGGAGGAGAUGGUGAUGGUGGAGGAGGAGACUUGUAAUAGUAGGGAGGUGGGGGUGAUGGAGAUGGUGGUGGAGGAGACUUGUAAUAGUAUGGUGGAGGAGGAGAUGGCGAUGGUGGUGGUGGAGACUUGUAAUAGUAGGGAGGUGGAGGUGAUGGUGAUGGUGGUGGAGGAGAUUUGUAGUAGUAUGGAGGUGGUGGUGAUGGAGAUGGUGGUGGAGGAGACUUGUAAUAGUAUGGUGGUGGUGGUGGGGACUUGUAGACGUACUUAGGUGAUGGUGGUGGUGGGGACUUGUAGACGUACUUAGGUGAGGGAGGUGGUGGAGACUUGUACACGUAUUUAGGUGAUGGAGGAGGUGGUGAUUUGUACACGUACUUCGGUGAUGGAGGUGGUGGUGACUUGUACACGUAUUUAGGUGAUGGAGGAGGUGGUGAUUUGUACACGUACUUCGGUGAUGGAGGUGGUGGUGACUUGUACACGUAUUUAGGUGAUGGAGGAGGUGGUGACUUGUACACGUACUUUGGUGAUGGAGGCGGUGGUGACUUGUAUACGUAUUUAGGUGAUGGAGGAGGUGGUGACUUGUACACGUACUUUGGUGAUGGAGGUGGUGGUGAUUUGUACACGUAUUUAGGUGACGGAGGAGGUGGUGACUUGUACACGUACUUUGGUGAUGGAGGUGGUGGUGACUUGUACACGUACUUUGGUGAUGGAGGUGGUGGUGACUUGUACACGUACUUUGGUGAUGGAGGUGGUGGUGACUUGUACACGUACUUGGGGGAUGGAGGAGGUGGGGACUUGUACACGUAUUUUGGUGAUGGUGGUGGAGGAGAUUUGUAGUAGUAAGGAGUUGGGGUUGGCUUAGGCUUCAUGCAUUCUUCAUAUGGAGUUUUUGGAGCAUAAGCAAAUGGUUUAGCAGAGAGCACAACUUCAUAAUGAUUCUUUGACUUCACUUUGAGGUUAGCACCCUUGAUGCCCCAAUGAAGAUCUGUGGGGAUGUUACAUUUUGAAUCCUUUGGUGCUUUGUGGAGUUUAGCCUUGCAUGCAUCUGCUCCAUAUUUGGCAUAAUCAAAUCCUUCAACAGUGAUG
RNAcentral lists this long non-coding RNA (1348 nucleotides) under Solanum tuberosum (potato). RNAcentral describes it as "long non-coding RNA (STUB_LNC009499)". Lineage: Eukaryota; Viridiplantae; Streptophyta; Magnoliopsida; Solanales; Solanaceae. The record is from RNAcentral.